CUGCCACCUGCCUAGGGAACCCUUUCCCGUGCGAGGUGGACCCCACUGUGUUUGAAGUGCCCGAGGGGUACAGCGUGCUAGGCACGGAGCGCAGCGAGCCCCUCCGAGACGAGGACGAUGACCUCCUGCAGUUCGCCAUCCAGCAGAGCCUGCUUGAAGCGGGCACCGAGGUGGAGCAGGCCACGGUUUAUGAGGAACAGCUUCAGCUGGAGCGGGCCCUCCAGGAAAGCCUGCGGCUGUCCACAGAGCCCAGGGGCCCAGGAUCCCCUCCCAGGACACCCCCAGUCCCCGGCCCACCCAGCUUUGAAGAGCAGCUGCGCCUGGCCCUGGAGUUGUCUUCACGGGAGCAGGAGGAGCGGGAGCGACGCGGGCAGCAGGAGGAGGAGGACUUACAGCGGAUCCUGCAGCUGUCACUCACCGAGCACUGAGCCACAGCCCCGGGAGGGCUGGCCAGGCCACUCCCUGCCCGCUUUUGUAAUUUAUUUAUUUAUAAACUCUCUGCUGCUGAGCUUGGGGCCUGGAGCCCCAGGAAUGGGCAGGCAGGGGAGACUGAGAUGGAAAUAAAGAGACUGCCGCAGCA
Molecule: small RNA, 580 nt
Filed under: Pongo abelii (Sumatran orangutan)
Lineage: Eukaryota; Metazoa; Chordata; Mammalia; Primates; Hominidae
Description: processed transcript
Source: RNAcentral